This 253-nucleotide ribosomal RNA is filed under the name uncultured bacterium. RNAcentral's name for it is "partial 16S ribosomal RNA". It matches the Rfam family "Bacterial small subunit ribosomal RNA", at positions 524 to 776 of the family's 1533-position model. The record is from RNAcentral.
UACGGAGGGUGCAAGCGUUAUCCGGAUUUACUGGGUUUAAAGGGUGCGUAGGUGGGUUGGUAAGUCAGUGGUGAAAUACUUUCGCUUAACGAAGGAACUGCCAUUGAUACUAUCAAUCUUGAAUGUAGUGGAGGUAGGCGGAAUGCGUCAUGUAGCGGUGAAAUGCUUAGAUAUGACGCAGAACACCAAUUGCGAAGGCAGCUUGCUACACUACUAUUGACACUGAGGCACGAAAGCGUGGGGAUCAAACAGG